ACGAACGGAUAAAGAGCUUGCUCUUUUGAAGUUAGUGGCGGACGGGUGAKUAACACGUGGGUAACCUGCCUCACAGCUGGGGAUAACAUCGAGAAAUCGAUGCUAAUACCGAAUGUGCUGAACAUCAUAAGAUGUUCAAGUGAAAGACGGUUUCGGCUGUCACUGUGAGAUGGACCCGCGCUGGAUUAGCUAGUUGGUAAGGUAAUGGCUUACCAAGGCGACGAUCCAUAGCCGACCUGAGAGGGUGAUCGGCCACAUUGGGACUGAGACACGGCCCAAACUCCUACGGGAGGCAGCAGUAGGGAAUCUUCGGCAAUGGACGAAAGUCUGACCGAGCAACGCCGCGUGAGCGAAGAAGGCCUUCGGGUCGUAAAGCUCUGUUGUUAGAGAAGAACAUGGGUGAGAGUAACUGUUCACCCCUUGACGGUAUCUAACCAGAAAGCCACGGCUAACUACGUGCCAGCAGCCGCGGUAAYACGUAGGUGGCAAGCGUUGUCCGGAAUUAUUGGGCGUAA
This 515-nucleotide ribosomal RNA is filed under the name Brochothrix thermosphacta. Its description in RNAcentral is "bacterial SSU rRNA". Lineage: Bacteria; Bacillati; Bacillota; Bacilli; Caryophanales; Listeriaceae. The record is from RNAcentral.